Pelobates cultripes (western spadefoot toad) is the source of this 992-nucleotide non-coding RNA. The record is from the annotation of a GenBank genome assembly. NCBI's taxonomy places the organism in Eukaryota, Metazoa, Chordata, Amphibia, Anura, Pelobatidae.
CCUACGCGUCUAAAACAAGUCUGCCUCUGUUUGUAUUCAUCCAGAAAUUAUUUCAAUCUAGUUUUUAGCCAUUUCUCUGGUUUCCAAAAGGCAAAAUGUCAGCACAGCUGACACUACAAUGCAAUAUUCUAAGCAAACUGCAGGAGUCAAAGGAUUAACUGGUAGUAGACUGCAUAUUGCAGACAUGCAAACUGUAUACAGCUGCAACGUUGCCAGCGGCAUCCAGUGUUCUAAAAUAAAAUAAUAGACCAGUACUUCAACCUUGCUACAAGAGGGUCCCGCGAGGGUUCAUAAGCAAAUCAAAUGCAAUACAUUUUAAAAAAUUUAAAAUUAUUAAAGAUAACGCAUGUUUUAUCUCUGGUAUAUGUAAAAAAAACUCAGAAGAAGGAUAUUAAAUAUAAAGGAUUAAUUCUAGGGCAAGGUUUUACAUUUUGCAGUAACAUUUCACUGGUUUUAUGGUGAUUGCUCCACAUUUACACUUUUUCCCCAAAUUGUUCUUGGCACACCCCACCCAACCCCAGGAAUCAAAAUUUCAAAGGCUAUUUGCACGAACCUUUUAGAAUUAGAUGAAUAACGUAUCACAUUGUUGAUAUUGUCCAUAAUAAGAGUAUGGUAUUUGUGUGGGAAAAAAAGAGGCUUACGCUUAACUGAGCUUUUUGACUCUUAGCUCUGGCAGUGAAUGGGGUUCAGGGUUUACGUUCUGGAAGCCCAAACUGAACUGGGAAAUUUAAUACUGUCUGCAGAGGUGGAAACAACAAUAACGGCAAAAGGAAGACAUCUCUCUUGGGUUCUUUGUUGUGACUUUGCUCUUAUUUCCGUGGGUGACUUUUAAGGUAGUGUAAAUUUUGUGUUUGUACUAUACAAUUUGUUAUUUUAUUUCCUCGUGUUCAAAUAAUGAAAUCUUGAAUUCUUACACUUUGUAGUACAUCUGUACAAUUUCACAGCCUAUAACUAACAGUCAACUGAAAAUAAAAAUGAUAUAUAUAUAUAUA